RNAcentral lists this ribosomal RNA (455 nucleotides) under uncultured bacterium. RNAcentral describes it as "bacterial SSU rRNA". It matches the Rfam family "Bacterial small subunit ribosomal RNA", at positions 340 to 786 of the family's 1533-position model. The record is from RNAcentral.
UACGGGAGGCAGCAGUGGGGAAUAUUGCACAAUGGGCGCAAGCCUGAUGCAGCCAUGCCGCGUGUAUGAAAAGGCCUUCGGGUUGUAAAGUACUUUCAGUCGUGAGGAAGGUGUUAAGGUUAAUAACCUUAGCAAUUGACGUUAGCGACAGAAGAAGCACCGGCUAACUCCGUGCCAGCAGCCGCGGUAAUACGGAGGGUGCGAGCGUUAAUCGGAAUUACUGGGCGUAAAGGGCACGCAGGCGGUUAAUUAAGUUGGAUGUGAAAUCCCCGGGCUUAACCUGGGAAUGGCAUUCAAGACUGGUUAGCUAGAGUCUUGUAGAGGGGGUAGAAUUCCAUGUGUAGCGGUGAAAUGCGUAGAGAUGUGGAGGAAUACCGGUGGCGAAAGGCGGCCCCUGGACAAAGACUGACGCUCAUGUGCGAAAAGCGUGGGGAGCAAAACAGGGAUUAGAUACC